This 238-nucleotide ribosomal RNA is filed under the name uncultured bacterium. Its description in RNAcentral is "partial 16S ribosomal RNA". It matches the Rfam family "Bacterial small subunit ribosomal RNA", at positions 96 to 334 of the family's 1533-position model. The record is from RNAcentral.
CGGCGGACGGGUGAGUAACGCGUGGGUAACCUGCCUCAUACAGGGGGAUAACAGUUAGAAAUGGCUGCUAAUACCGCAUAAGACCACAGUACUGCAUGGUACAGUGGUAAAAACUCCGGUGGUAUGAGAUGGACCCGCGUCUGAUUAGCUGGUUGGCGGGGUAACGGCCCACCAAGGCGACGAUCAGUAGCCGACCUGAGAGGGUGACCGGCCACAUUGGGACUGAGACACGGCCCAA